UUUGCUUAUAUCGCAAAAAAUAAAUUGCUAGCUAGCUAAACAACAACUGUAACAGUGUAUUUGAGACAUGUUCUCAUUGUGAAACUUUAUGUUUUCAAUUAACAUUGGAGAUUAAAUAUAGUUUACAUGUCAUCAACAAUAUAAGCCAACCCUGUCUGUUUCCCCAUAGUUGGGCAUCCGUCGGUUUUGUUGCUAAACAACCAACCUGUCUAUGUUAAUGGUAGGUCUCGACAUGUCAGUGACCUCAGUCGGGGUCUCAACAUACUGUUGAGAGGUAGAAUAGUAGAAUACGCAUACUGUUGAGAGGUAGAAUAGUAGAACACGCAUACUGUUGAGAGGUAGAAUAGUAGAAUACGCAUACUGUUGAGAGGUAGAAUAGUAGAAUACGCAUACUGUUGAGAGGUAGAAUAGUAGAAUACGCAUACUGUUGAGAGGUAGAAUAGUAGAAUACGCAUACUGUUGAGAGGUAGAAUAGUAGAAUACGCAUACUGUUGAGAGGUAGAAUAGUAGAAUACGCAUACUGUUGAGAGGUAGAAUAGUAGAAUACGCAUACUGUUGAGAGGUAGAAUAGUAGAAUACGCAUACUGUUGAGAGGUAGAAUAGUAGAAUACGCAUACUGUUGAGAGGUAGAAUAGUAGAAUACGCAUACUGUUGAGAGGUAGAACAC
Molecule: non-coding RNA, 667 nt
Organism: Salmo salar (Atlantic salmon)
Lineage: Eukaryota; Metazoa; Chordata; Actinopteri; Salmoniformes; Salmonidae
Source: RefSeq, a predicted model, not a curated record